This 94-nucleotide ribosomal RNA is filed under the name Oxyloma cf. effusa MMC-2020. RNAcentral's name for it is "partial 5.8S ribosomal RNA". It matches the Rfam family "5.8S ribosomal RNA", at positions 58 to 154 of the family's 154-position model. From Rfam's summary of the family: 5.8S ribosomal RNA (5.8S rRNA) is a component of the large subunit of the eukaryotic ribosome. It is transcribed by RNA polymerase I as part of the 45S precursor that also contains 18S and 28S rRNA. RNAcentral also lists the same sequence under 1 other name. The record is from RNAcentral. Lineage: Eukaryota; Metazoa; Mollusca; Gastropoda; Stylommatophora; Succineidae.
AAUAAUGUGAAUUGCAGAACACAUUGAACAUCGACACCUUGAACGCACAUGGCGGCCUCGGGUCCAUCCCGGGGCCACGCCCGUCUGAGGGUCG